AGUGAACGCUGGCGGUAGGCCUAACACAUGCAAGUCGAACGGCAGCACAGUAAGAGCUUGCUCUUACGGGUGGCGAGUGGCGGACGGGUGAGGAAUACAUCGGAAUCUACUUUUUCGUGGGGGAUAACGUAGGGAAACUUACGCUAAUACCGCAUACGACCUACGGGUGAAAGCAGGGGAUCUUCGGACCUUGCGCGAUUGAAUGAGCCGAUGUCGGAUUAGCUAGUUGGCGGGGUAAAGGCCCACCAAGGCGACGAUCCGUAGCUGGUCUGAGAGGAUGAUCAGCCACACUGGAACUGAGACACGGUCCAGACGCCUACGGGAGGCAGCAGUGGGGAAUAUUGGACAAUGGGCGCAAGCCUGAUCCAGCCAUACCGCGUGGGUGAAGAAGGCCUUCGGGUUGGAAAGCCCUUUUGUUGGGAAAGAAAAGCAGCAGGUUAAGACCCCGCUGUUCUGACGGUACCCAAAGAAUAAGCACCGGCUAACUUCGUG
Molecule: ribosomal RNA, 492 nt
Filed under: uncultured bacterium
Lineage: Bacteria
Description: partial 16S ribosomal RNA
Rfam family: Bacterial small subunit ribosomal RNA
Source: RNAcentral